Molecule: small nuclear RNA, 106 nt
Organism: Nycticebus coucang (slow loris)
Lineage: Eukaryota; Metazoa; Chordata; Mammalia; Primates; Lorisidae
Source: RefSeq, a predicted model, not a curated record
GUGCUCGCUUUGGCAGCACAUGUACUAAAACUGGAAUGAGACAGAGAAGAUUAGCACAGCCUUGUGUAAGGAUGAUUUGCAAAUUCACGAACUGCUUCAUACUUUC